This is a long non-coding RNA of Salvelinus namaycush (lake trout), 596 nucleotides long. RefSeq lists it as uncharacterized. Lineage: Eukaryota; Metazoa; Chordata; Actinopteri; Salmoniformes; Salmonidae. The record is from RefSeq and is a predicted model, not a curated record. The transcript is spliced from 3 exons.
ACACACACACACACAUCGUUAUGUCGUUAUCUACACACAUCUACACCAUCGUUAUUACACUGUAGAGGCUGUGGAGGUCGUUAUUAGACUGUGGAGGCUUUGGAGGUCGUUAUUAGACUGUGGAGGCUUUGGAGGUCGUUAUUAGACUGUGGAGGCUUUGGAGGUCGUUAUUAGACUGUGGAGGCUUUGGAGGUCGUUAUUAGACUGUGGAGGCUGUGGAGGUCGUUAUUAGACUGUGGAGGCUGUGGAGGUCGUUAUUAGACUGUAGAUGGCUUUGGAGGUCGUUAUUACACUGUAGAUGGCUUUGGAGGUCGUUAUUAGACUAGAGGCUGUGGAGGUCGUUAUUACACUGUGGAGGCUUUGGAGGUCGUUAUUACACUGUGGAGGCUUUGGAGGUCGUUAUUACACUGUGGAGGCUUUGGAGGUCGUUAUUACACUGUGGAGGCUUUGGAGGUCGUUAUUACACUGUGGAGGCUUUGGAGGUCGUUAUUACACUGUGGAGGCUGUGGAGGUCGUUAUUACACUGUGGAGGCUGUGGAGGUCGUUAUUACACUGUGGAGGCUGUGGAGGUCGUUAUUACACUGUGGAGGCUGUGG